UGGGGAAUAUUGCACAAUGGGCGCAAGCCUGAUGCAGCCAUGCCGCGUGUAUGAAGAAGGCCUUAGGGUUGUAAAGUACUUUCAGCGGGGAGGAAGGUGAUAAGGUUAAUACCCUUGUCAAUUGACGUUACCCGCAGAAGAAGCACCGGCUAACUCCGUGCCAGCAGCCGCGGUAAUACGGAGGGUGCAAGCGUUAAUCGGAAUUACUGGGCGUAAAGCGCACGCAGGCGGUCAAUUAAGUCAGAUGUGAAAGCCCCGAGCUUAACUUGGGAAUUGCAUCUGAAACUGGUUGGCUAGAGUCUUGUAGAGGGGGGUAGAAUUCCAUGUGUAGCGGUGAAACGCGUAGAGAUGUGGAGGAAUACCGGUGGCGAAGGCGGCCCCCUGGACAAAGACUGACGCUCAGGUGCGAAAGCGUGGGGAGCAAACA
This 427-nucleotide ribosomal RNA is filed under the name uncultured bacterium. RNAcentral's name for it is "partial 16S ribosomal RNA". It matches the Rfam family "Bacterial small subunit ribosomal RNA", at positions 355 to 774 of the family's 1533-position model. The record is from RNAcentral.